Molecule: ribosomal RNA, 517 nt
Filed under: uncultured bacterium
Lineage: Bacteria
Description: bacterial SSU rRNA
Rfam family: Bacterial small subunit ribosomal RNA
Source: RNAcentral
UAGAGAUGAGCCCGCGUCCGAUUAGCUAGUUGGUAGGGUAAAGGCCUACCAAGGCGACGAUCGGUAGCUGGUCUGAGAGGAUGAUCAGCCACAAUGGGACUGAGACACGGCCCAUACUCCUACGGGAGGCAGCAGUGGGGAAUUUUACGCAAUGGGCGAAAGCCUGACGUAGCGACACCGCGUGAGCGAAGAAGCCCUUUGGGGUGUAAAGCUCUGUCGGCUGGAACGAAAAAAAUGACGGUACCAGCAAAGGAAGCAUCGGCUAACUACGUGCCAGCAGCCGCGGUAAGACGUAGGAUGCGAGCGUUGUCCGGAUUUAUUGGGCGUAAAGAGUUCGUAGGUGGCUUGUCAAGUUUGAUGUUAAAGAUCGGGGCUCAACCCUGGGACUGCAUUGAAUACUGGCAGGCUUGAGUGUGGUAGAGGCUAGUGGAAUUCCCAGUGUAGCGGUGAAAUGCGUAGAUAUUGGGAAGAACACCGGUGGCGUAGGCGACUAGCUGGGCCAUAACUGACACUGAGG